This is a long non-coding RNA of Orcinus orca (killer whale), 1818 nucleotides long. RefSeq lists it as uncharacterized. The record is from RefSeq and is a predicted model, not a curated record. NCBI's taxonomy places the organism in Eukaryota, Metazoa, Chordata, Mammalia, Artiodactyla, Delphinidae. The transcript has 3 exons.
GCGGGGGCGCGCAGGCCGCCCGCGUGUGCGGGGCUGCGGGAGCGCGCCCGGACCGGCGGGGGCGCGCGGGCCGCCCGGCUACCCGAGAACCGCAGCCCGGCCGCCGGCGUCCUCGGUUACCAGGAGUUUCGGGGCCGGAGUGCGGUGGGUGCCGGCGCCUGGCGUCACCGCUGCCCGCCGGCCCGGACCGCCCCUUCCGGGGCCCGUUUGGGAAAUGGGGGGAGGGGAGCCCCGCAGAAAGGCCCCGAACGUCGGCCCCAGCCACCCUGUUAGUGCCCCUCUUCCCGCAGGUUCCCUUCUCCGUGUCCUCUCGAGUUUUGUCCUCAUUUAUUUGCUUUCCACGUUCCUCUCCUUUUCAGGGCCCCAUUUGCUCCCGCCUUUUCUGUUUCCAUCCAUCCACCUGCCUUUAGACCUCUCUCCUCAUUUCCUUGCACCCCCGGACAUUCUCGGUGGUGGUGGGGAGGGGCGCAGUAGAAAGGUACCGGUGGGCGUCGGGCGCCCCCUCGCGGCCCACUUGUCCCGGCCUGGCCUCCGGCCUGGGAGGGGACCGGCCACUCGCCACCCCCCAGCCCCCACCCCCUACCCGCCCAGGUCUGGGGUUCAGGUUCUGGGUUAGCGGGAGCCGCGCGCCCCCAGCGGCACAGUCACAUCCUCAAAACCCACUCUCCGGGUUCUGGAAAGUGGAAAGCGGCCUCCAGAAAAAGGGACCUUGAGACUGAAGAUUCUUUUCCCUUAUGGGUUAUUACAAGAUAUUGAGUAGAGUUCCCUGUGCUAUACACUGUGAAGAACGAUUGCUUCAUGCCUGCCUUUGAUCUGCCUUCGGCAAGGCUCCCGUGUCCUGGUCACUCCUCGCUCCAGCUCUUGCCUGUGAGGUCCUUCUUCUUGGCGUGGCCGCUGAACAGGCUCCGCUGGAAGGACUGUGGUCCAGCCUUCCAGCCCUCCCUUUCCAAGCUCACUUUGCCUCAGUCCCUCAAGCAGGCAUGGAUCCCCAAGUGAUGUCCCAGCCUUUUUGAGGACCUUCAUUCAAACCAGUUUACUCUGGGGACAUUCAAUUUGCAGUUGUGAAAAUAAUGUUAAAGCUCACCUGAAAAAAAUAAACAAAAUUAGAAUAUCUAAGAAGUUUUUAUUGAUUAAAAAAAAAAGGCCAAGAAGGAAGGGUAUGUCCACCAAAAAUUAAAUUAAAUAUAAUUAAGUCAUAAAGCUACAUUACCUUAGCUGGUUUGGUACUGGUGCUGACCUAGGUAAAAGCAGUUCAUUUGAAUAGAAUAUACCCCACAUAUCUAUGGGGAGUUAUUUAUGAUAUAGGUGGCAUUUCAAACCAGUGGUUGAGUAAUUAUUGAAAAAAAUGAUAUUGGGACAGUUGGGUAUCCAUCCAGGAAAAUAUGCAGAUGGCUCAAUGUUGUAAACAUUAAAAAAAAAAAACGAAGAAAAAAGAAGAAAUUAGUAGGAAAAAAACAGGAGCGUUUAAAAAAAAAAAAGAAAGAAAGGGCUUCCUUGGUGGCACAGUGGUUAAGAAUCCGCCUGCCAGUGCAGGAGACAUGGGUUCGAGCCCUGGUCCGGGAAGAUCCCACAUGCCACGGAGGAACUAAGCCCACGUGCCACAACUACUGAGCCUGCACCCUAGAGCCCGUGAGCCACAACUGCUGAGCCUGCGUGCCACAACUACUGAAGCCCGCGUGCCUAGAGCCUGUGCUCUGCAACAAGAGAAGCCACCACCAUGAGAAGCCCGUGCAUCGCAAUGAAGAGUAGCCCCCACUCGCUGCAACUAGAGAAAAGCCCGCGUGCAGCAACGAAGACUCAACGCAGCCAAAAAUAAAU